RNAcentral lists this ribosomal RNA (467 nucleotides) under Vagococcus carniphilus. RNAcentral describes it as "bacterial SSU rRNA". It matches the Rfam family "Bacterial small subunit ribosomal RNA", at positions 409 to 873 of the family's 1533-position model. The record is from RNAcentral. Lineage: Bacteria; Bacillati; Bacillota; Bacilli; Lactobacillales; Enterococcaceae.
AGACGUUCUUCGGAUCCGCAAACUCUGUUUGAAGGGAGUCAAGUGCCAGAGAACUUCCCCCCCCUUGAUCCCUCUAACCAGAAAGCCACGGCUAACUACGUGCCAGCUGCCGCGGUAAUACGUAGGUGGCAAGCGUUGUCCGGAUUUAUUGGGCGUAAAGCGAGCGCAGGCGGUUUCUUAAGUCUGAUGUGAAAGCCCUCGGCUCAACCGAGGAAGGUCAUUGGAAACUGGGGAACUUGAAUGCAGAAGAGGAGAGUGGAAUUCCAUGUGUAGCGGUGAAAUGCGUAGAUAUAUGGAGGAACACCAGUGGCGAAGGCGACUCUCUGGUCUGUAACUGACGCUGAGGCUCGAAAGCGUGGGGAGCAAACAGGAUUAGAUACCCUGGUAGUCCACGCCGUAAACGAUGAGUGCUAAGUGUUGGAGGGUUCCGCCCUUCGUGCUGCAGUUAACGCAUUAAGCACUCCGCC